Kogia breviceps (pygmy sperm whale) is the source of this 609-nucleotide non-coding RNA. NCBI's taxonomy places the organism in Eukaryota, Metazoa, Chordata, Mammalia, Artiodactyla, Physeteridae. The record is from the annotation of a RefSeq genome assembly.
AUGGACCACAGGUUCUGCUGGGUGAUCGUUUGUCUCCUGGGAGAAGGACACGUAGAAUCUGGUGUCAGCCAAAGCCCUUGCCACUGUAUCACAGGGAUGGGACGGAAGGUGACUCUGGGAUGUGGUCCUGUGCCCCGUCGUUUGUACCUCUUCUGGUACCGACAGACCCCAGGAAAGGGCAUGGGGUUUCUGAUGUCCAUCUAUAACACAGUGUCUUCAGAGAAGGCAGACGUUUUGAAGGAUCACUUCUCAGCUGAGAUGCCUGAUGGCGUGUGCCUCACUCUGAAGACCCAGCCUGCACAGCUGGGGGACUCGGCCAUGAGCCUCUGUGCCAGCAGCUCGGCCACGGCCUUGCAGAGACGCUUCCUGCCCUCCCACCCACCCUACAGCUUCGCUGCUCUCCCCAGGCUCUCAGCCUCCCUGCCCUGCCCAAGGCGGGUGGGGGAUGUGCGGUGGCACUGCAGCUGCUCUCCAGCAGCAGAGGUCAAAAUUAACUUUAAUUCGCAGAAAAGGAAAUAUUGCACAGGAUAUCUGGGGCUGUGGUAUUUGGGAAAGGUUCCCAGGCACCGCAGAACGUGGCCGGGGACCCCAACGAUGGGACAGGUGUAG